CCUGGGAGAGGACCGACCUGAUAGCAAGAGUUUCACCUUGAAUCGAAGAAGCAAAAUAGUGCAACAUUGAUAAGGCUUUAACCAAAUUUCCUCCAUUAUCUCAUAAGACAAUUCCCAAACCACCUCUUGUGUUACCCUUGACAAAGCAGCAUCACAGUUUACUUUAGGGGGUGUUUGGUUCGGUAAAUCUUUGGGAUGACAUUCUUCAGAAUGAUAAUUCUUAAUUUUAGGAGUUGUUUGGUUCCACUAGGAUGACCCUCAUAUCCGAGCACCCUACUUCCCAUGAAUGACCAUUUUACAAAAGAUGUGCUUCAAAUCUGAGUUCACCUAAACACCUAAACUCAUAUUUGAACAACGUUUUUUUGACCUAGUAUAAAAGAAAAAAGGGGAAAGACGUUCUGAGGCAACAUCUCAACCCGCGACCUCUCAACGGCGACAUACUCACCCCGCGACCUCUCAAACCGUAAGCCCCGACCUGCGACCUCUCAAACCGAGCCACUCUCACCUAGAGUCCGCCGUUGGCGACUGCAGCAGGCCAAGGUUGUUCCUAAAUCGAGGCCUCAGAUAUUAGACUCUUUGUUUGCAAACAUGAAGGAAUAGAAGAUGAAGACAUCAUCUCAUCAAAUGAGAAGGGGUCGAUUUCAGCAACAACAGCGGAAAAGGGAUCGAUUUAACAGUUAUUCCCACUAACUAGACCUAUGUUGAUCAUUGUGCAAGGAGAUGUGAGAUCAUAUGGGUGUUAAAAAUUGUACCCCAGCCAACCAUGUGGUGCAAAGUAGUGGAUUUAUCUUUAGCACCCAAGUCUCUGAUUAUCAGCAGGAAACAGUCCAUUCUUUGUUUUGCUUCCUUCAGUACUUUUUUCUUCAUUAACCUGACUAUCUCCAAUAUGGAAACUUGUAGAUAUCUUCUUUCAAUUUUUUGAUCUGAGAUUUGGAUUAGUUUGUUUCUCAUCUAGUUUGUAUUGGAAUGGUUGUUAAAUUCAUUGGUGACCAUUUAGUAGCUAA
Long non-coding RNA from Macadamia integrifolia, 1004 nucleotides. RefSeq lists it as uncharacterized. The transcript has 2 exons. The record is from RefSeq and is a predicted model, not a curated record. NCBI's taxonomy places the organism in Eukaryota, Viridiplantae, Streptophyta, Magnoliopsida, Proteales, Proteaceae.